This 465-nucleotide ribosomal RNA is filed under the name uncultured bacterium. RNAcentral describes it as "partial 16S ribosomal RNA". It matches the Rfam family "Bacterial small subunit ribosomal RNA", at positions 28 to 507 of the family's 1533-position model. The record is from RNAcentral.
GACGAACGCUGGCGGCGUGCUUAACACAUGCAAGUCGAACGGAAAGGCCCCUUUUGGGGUACUCGAGUGGCGAACGGGUGGGUAACACGUGAGUAACCUGCCCUUGACUUCGGGAUAACUUCAGGAAACUGGGGCUAAUACCGGAUAGGAAUCCUUGCUGCAUGGUGGGGGUUGGAAAGCUUCGGCGGGUUUGGAUGGACUCGCGGCUUAUCAGCUUGUUGGUGGGGUAGUGGCUUACCAAGGCUUUGACGGGUAGCCGGCCUGAGAGGGCGACCGGCCACAUUGGGACUGAGAUACGGCCCAGACCCCUACGGGAGGCAGCAGUGGGGAAUAUUGCACAAUGGGCGGAAGCCUGAUGCAGCAACGCCGCGUGCGGGAUGACGGCCUUCGGGUUGUAAACCGCUUUCAGCAGGGGCGAAGCUUGUGGUGACGGUACCUGCAGAAGAAGCACCGGCUAACUACGUG